GAUGAAGAACGUAGCGAAAUGCGAUAAGUAAUGCGAAUUGCAGAAUUCCAGUGAGUCAUCGAAUCUUUGAACGCACAUUGCGCCCUUUGGUAUUCCGAAGGGCAUGCCUGUUCGAGCGUCAUUAUAACCCCUCAAGCUCAGCUUGGUGUUGGGGCCUGCCGCACGGGCAGCCCUUAAAAUCAGUGGCGGUGCCAUCUGGCUCUAAGCGUAGUAAUUCUUCUCGCUAUAGAGUCCCGGUGGAUGCUUGCCAUUAACCCCCAAUUUUCUAUGGUUGACCUCGGAUCAGGUAGGGAUACCCGCUGAACUUAAGCAUAUCAAUAAGCGGAGGA
RNAcentral lists this unclassified non-coding RNA (329 nucleotides) under soil metagenome. RNAcentral's name for it is "partial contains 5.8S ribosomal RNA, internal transcribed spacer 2, and large subunit ribosomal RNA". The stretch from base 1 to 121 matches the Rfam family "5.8S ribosomal RNA", at positions 35 to 154 of the family's 154-position model. The record is from RNAcentral.